CAAAUCACUGCACUGGAUAAAGUCCAAAUCAUCCUACCAACCGAAUCAUGAUUAACAACUCAAGCAAUAUGUGGCACAACAAAAUUCAGACAACGCAUAUCUCAAAAAGAUGAAGCUAAUCCAACACCAGGAGAAACUGAUAACUAAGCUGAUGAUUAUAAUCCAAGACGAACAACCAUCUUCUUAGAUGAGCCUGAAUGGUCACAGGUCAUCGACACACAUCUCAUUUGUACAGUGGCCUGCAGAGGAGAAACUUCACACUACCAGCAAAACACUAUAAGAUUCUUGGUCUAGCACCCAGCAACCCAAAACAACAAACUCGGAUUACAGACACUAGAAACAUAAAAGGAAAAUCAAUCCAUCUUCUAACCAUCCCGGAUGAUCAAACUUCCAGUGGCUGUGGGUCGACCAUUUCUAGACUUCUUUGCCAUCCUCAUCAUCAAGUCAGGCUGUUCCUGGGCAGAGUGAAAGAACAAGAUUAAUUAGUGGCCAAGUAAACCCACCGCAACGACUAGCACGACAACACACCUGCAAUGGACAUGAAAAAACAAGAGAAAAUAGCUUACUCCAAACACAUACAAAGUGGUGCGGUGCACUGUACACCUAUGCAAUGGCAUCAAACAAAACAAAAAAGCAUGAUCCAUCCAUUCAUCCCAAAUCAACAACUCUGUUGGGAAACCAGAAAUUCAUUCAUGCAUGCAUCCAAAUUCCUUCCAUUCGAAUUCAUCAUGCCAAUCGAACAUGUUCCACAGCAAUCUUGCUUGGCGCUUCAGCACAAUUCUCAGAGCAAGAAGCUAAUUUGAACACCACAACAUACUAAGAAGCCGAAGAAUUCUGGGCACUCAUCACACCGAAUAGAGCGAGACGAGCCACUUCAGCUUGACGACCAACUCCAGGUGGCCGUUGAGCGUGUCAAGUUCCCUCCGUGCCUUCUAACAACCGCGACUUCCAUGCCUUUCUUCAGAUUUAGAUACAUAUGCUCUCUCUCUCUCUCUCUCUCU
This 1001-nucleotide long non-coding RNA is filed under the name Triticum aestivum (bread wheat). RNAcentral describes it as "long non-coding RNA (TAES_LNC017653)". Lineage: Eukaryota; Viridiplantae; Streptophyta; Magnoliopsida; Poales; Poaceae. The record is from RNAcentral.